AGAGCGAACGCUGGCGGCAGGCCUAACACAUGCAAGUCGAGCGCCCGUAGCAAUACGGGAGCGGCAGACGGGAUAGUAACACGUGGGAACGCGCCCUUCGGUUCGGAAUAACUCAGGGAAACUUGAGCUAAUACCGGAUACGCCCUUACGGGGAAAGAUUUAUUGCCGAAGGAACGGCCCGCGUCCGAUUAGCUAGUUGGUGAGGUAAUGGCUCACCAAGGCGACGAUCGGUAGCUGGUCUGAGAGGAUGACCAGCAUCACUGGGACUGAGACACGGCCCAGACUCCUACGGGAGGCAGCAGUGGGGAAUAUUGGACAAUGGGCGCAAGCCUGAUCCAGCCAUGCCGCGUGGAUGAUGAAGGCCUUAGGGUUGUAAAGUCCUUUUAACGGGGAAGAUAAUGACGGUACCGUAGAAUAAGCCCGGCUAACGUUCGCGCCAGCAGCCGC
This 447-nucleotide ribosomal RNA is filed under the name uncultured bacterium. Its description in RNAcentral is "SSU rRNA". It matches the Rfam family "Bacterial small subunit ribosomal RNA", at positions 26 to 518 of the family's 1533-position model. The record is from RNAcentral.